RNA transcript from Ochotona curzoniae (black-lipped pika), 2510 nucleotides. It is a transcript of the gene named DEAD-box helicase 59, with no coding region annotated. The record is from RefSeq and is a predicted model, not a curated record. NCBI's taxonomy places the organism in Eukaryota, Metazoa, Chordata, Mammalia, Lagomorpha, Ochotonidae. The transcript is spliced from 10 exons.
AAACCCGGACAAGUGGAUUCCGCGCUCCGCACGCGCCUGCUAGGCCCAGUCGGCAAUAGCCGGGCCCGGCUCGCAGGCAGGACUCCCGGCCCGGCGGCUGGACGCGGGAGCCGGCUCCGAGCGGGAGCGGAUGCGGCGCCGGGCCUGCGCGGGCUAGGAAGGAUGUUUGUUCCAAGGUCGCUCAAAGUCAAGAGACAUGCCAAUGAUGACAGCAGAGGUGGUGCAGCUAAGAAGGCCAAACUGGAAACAGAAACCCCUUCUCUGGAGAGAGGCGGAGAUGCCCCAGUGGAGGCCUUGGGUACUGAAGAAGCUGUGGCACCCGCCCAGCCCAGCAGCAAACCAUGCCCCAUGCCCAGUUCGGUUGGCCAUUCGGCCGAGGUAUGUUUGGAAGGACCACAUCUGGGGACAAAGGACAGCCACCCUGCAGAUGAGCCUGUAAAGUCGUUUUCCAAAACCCAGCGCCAGGCAGAACCUGGGGAGCCCGUGUGUGUGGUGUGUGGUCGGUACGGAGAAUACAUCUGUGAUGAGACGGACGAAGACGUGUGCAGCCUGGAGUGUAAAGCAAAACACCUACUCCAAGUGAAAGGCAUGGGGGAGCCAGGAGAGGCGAGUGGUCCCCAGCAGGCAGGCCCUGAGCUCGCCUCGGCACCCCACACCACCUAUGCCUACAGAGAGCACCCCUUCAUUGCCAGUCUCCACGAGGACCAGGUGGCGAACCUGAAACAGCAGCUGGGCAUCGUCGUCCAUGGGCAUAAGGUGCCCCGGCCCAUCAUCGAGUUCGAGCAUUGCGGUUUCCCUGAGACCUUGAAUCACAACCUGAAGCGGGCAGGCUAUGAGGUGCCAACCCCCAUCCAGAUGCAGAUGAUGCCCGUGGGCCUGCUGGGUAGAGACAUUCUGGCCAGUGCGGACACGGGCUCUGGGAAAACGGCAGCCUUCCUGCUCCCCGUGAUCAUGCGUGCUCUGUGCGAGAGCACAUCUCCUUGUGCCCUCAUUCUCACGCCAACAAGAGAGUUAGCCAUUCAGAUUGAGAAACAAGCCAAAGAACUGAUGAACGGCCUGCCUCACAUGAAGACCGUCCUGCUUGUGGGGGGCCUGCCUCUGCCCCCUCAGCUGUACCGCCUACGACAGCAUGUUAAGGUUAUCAUAGCAACUCCUGGGCGACUUCUGGAUAUAAUAAAACAGAACUCUGUAGAACUCCGUGGUAUAAAAAUUGUAGUCGUAGAUGAAGCUGAUACCAUGUUAAAGAUGGGCUUUCAGCAACAAGUGCUUGACGUUUUGGAAAGCGUUCCUGGUGACUGUCAGACCAUUUUGGUGUCAGCCACGAUUCCAGCUAGCAUCGAGCAGCUCUCAAACCAGCUGUUGCAAGACCCCGUGAGAGUCACCGCUGGAGAGAAGAGCGUGCCCUGUGCCAGCGUGCGGCAGAUUGUCCUGUGGGUGGAAGACCCUGCCAAAAAGAGGAAGCUGUUUGAAGUCUUGAACGACAGAAAGCUCUUUAAGCCCCCGGUGCUGGUGUUUGUUGACUGCAAGCUUGGAGCAGAUCUGUUGAGCGAGGCCGUGCAGAAGAUCACUGGCCUCAAGAGUGUGUCCAUGCACUCAGAGAAGUCGCAGACAGAGAGGAAGGACAUACUACAGGGGCUGCUUGAAGGUGACUAUGACGUUGUGGUGAGCACGGGCGUCCUGGGACGAGGCCUGGACCUGGUUAGCGUGAGGCUGGUCGUCAACUUCGACAUGCCCUCGAGCAUGGAUGAGUACGUGCACCAGGUUGGAAGAGUGGGAAGGUUAGGCCAACAGGGAACAGCCAUCACCUUCAUCAAUAACAAUUCAAAACGCCUCUUUUGGGACGUGGUAAAAAGAGUGAAGCCCACAGGAUCCCUUCUGCCGCCACAGCUGCUGAACUCACCUUACCUUCACGAGCAGAGGCGGAAGGAGCAGCAGCGAGAGAAGCAAACGCAGGGCGACCUGGUGACCGAGGCCAACCUCAUGGCCAUCAUCCGGAAGCACGACAGGAGUAACGCCCAGAAAUGACCAGAAGUGACCGGGAGACGGAGACCUGCUGCUUGGGGUCUCCGCAUGGACGGCAGGGACAGGGUCCCCACAGCUAGGAGCACUGCUCUGAGCAGGGAGUCUGUCCUCCACCCCAUGGGACCUCACGUUCACUGGAGCUUGAAUCACUGUGGAAUCACUGAGUGUUGUGACGACAGUAAAUGGAAAGGACUAGAAGAAACGCCAUCUGCCCGGGCUUCCUGUCUGUCAGAACAGCCCUGCACACCAUACUGGGGGAAUCACACAGCUCCUCUCCACUCCCAUGGACAUUUCCAUGGCACAAAUAGUGAACCUGCUGGUCAGCAAGAAUUGAUAUGUCAUCUGUGAGCUCGCAAACCCACAAUACAACCCAAGAACAGCAAAGCACCUGCUAAGAGGACAGUGUGUGUUUGGGAGCUGAUGUUUUGUUUUUAAGAUUUAUUAUUUUUUUUUAUUACAAAGUCAGAUAUGCAGAGAGGAGGAGAGAC